Molecule: ribosomal RNA, 497 nt
Filed under: uncultured bacterium
Lineage: Bacteria
Description: partial 16S ribosomal RNA
Rfam family: Bacterial small subunit ribosomal RNA
Source: RNAcentral
GACGAACGCUGGCGGCGUGCCUAAUACAUGCAAGUUGAGCGCUGAAGGUUGGUACUUGUACCAACUGGAUGAGCAGCGAACGGGUGAGUAACGCGUGGGGAAUCUGCCUUUGAGCGGGGGACAACAUUUGGAAACGAAUGCUAAUACCGCAUAAAAACUUUAAACACAAGUUUUAAGUUUGAAAGAUGCAAUUGCAUCACUCAAAGAUGAUCCCGCGUUGUAUUAGCUAGUUGGUGAGGUAAAGGCUCACCAAGGCGAUGAUACAUAGCCGACCUGAGAGGGUGAACGGCCACAUUGGGACUGAGACACGGCCCAAACUCCUACGGGAGGCAGCAGUAGGGAAUCUUCGGCAAUGGACGAAAGUCUGACCGAGCAACGCCGCGUGAGUGAAGAAGGUUUUCGGAUCGUAAAACUCUGUUGGUAGAGAAGAACGUUGGUGAGAGUGGAAAGCUCACCAAGUGACGGUAACUACCCAGAAAGGGACGGCUAACUACGUG